Molecule: ribosomal RNA, 422 nt
Filed under: uncultured Clostridium sp.
Lineage: Bacteria; Bacillati; Bacillota; Clostridia; Eubacteriales; Clostridiaceae
Description: bacterial SSU rRNA
Rfam family: Bacterial small subunit ribosomal RNA
Source: RNAcentral
UGGGGAAUAUUGCACAAUGGGCGAAAGCCUGAUGCAGCAACGCCGCGUGAGCGAAGAAGGUCUUCGGAUCGUAAAGCUCUGUCCUUGGGGAAGAUAAUGACGGUACCCUUGGAGGAAGCCUCGGCUAACUACGUGCCAGCAGCCGCGGUAAUACGUAGGGGGCAAGCGUUAUCCGGAUUUACUGGGUGUAAAGGGAGCGUAGGCGGUUUGGCAAGUCAGAAGUGAAAGCCCAAGGCUUAACCAUGGGACUGCUUUUGAAACUGUCAGACUGGAUUGCAGGAGAGGUAAGUGGAAUUCCUGGCGUAGCGGUGAAAUGCGUAGAUAUCAGGAGGAACACCGGUGGCGAAGGCGGCUUACUGGACUGUAAAUGACGCUGAGGCUCGAAAGCGUGGGGAGCAAACAGGAUUAGAUACCCUGGUAGU